RNAcentral lists this ribosomal RNA (989 nucleotides) under Sarcophaga keziviana. Its description in RNAcentral is "eukaryotic LSU rRNA". It matches the Rfam family "Eukaryotic large subunit ribosomal RNA", at positions 111 to 925 of the family's 3401-position model. Lineage: Eukaryota; Metazoa; Arthropoda; Insecta; Diptera; Sarcophagidae. The record is from RNAcentral.
GCACUAAGUCACUUUGUCUUUAUGGCAAAUGUGAGAUGCAGUGUAUGGAAUGUCAAAUUUCUAGUAUGAGAAAUUAACGAUUUAAGUCCUUCUUAAAUGAGGCCAUUUACCCAUAGAGGGUGCCAGGCCCGUAUAACGUUAAUGAUUACUAGAUGGCAUUUCCAAAGAGUCGUGUUGCUUGAUAGUGCAGCACUAAGUGGGUGGUAAACUCCAUCUAAAACUAAAUAUAACCAUGAGACCGAUAGUAAACAAGUACCGUGAGGGAAAGUUGAAAAGAACUCUGAAUAGAGAGUUAAAUAGUACGUGAAACUGCUUAGAGGUUAAGCCCGAUGAACCUGAAUAUCCAUUAUAGAAAAUUCAUCAUUAUGAUUUUAAUAUUAAUAAUAUUAUAAUAAUGGUGUGCAUUUUUUCUAUAACGGACAUUGUAAUCUAUUAACAUAAAUAUAUUUAUCAUAAGAUCAAUGAUGCGUAAGUUUAUUCAAAUUAUUUUGCUUGCAAUUUAACAUAGAAUAAAUGCUCUUGAUUUGAUAAAGUGUUGAUAGAUUUAUUGUAUAUAGUGCUUAAAUAUUUAUAUUUUAUAAUAGCAUAUUAAUCAUUGAUUUUUAUGUUUAUUAUAUGCACUUAUAUGAUUAACAAUGCGAAAGAUUCAGGAUACCUUCGGGACCCGUCUUGAAACACGGACCAAGGAGUCUAACAUAUUUGCAAGUUAUUGGGUAUCAAAACCUAAUAGCGAAAUUAACAUAACUUUAAUGGGAUUAGUUUUUAGAUUAUUUAUAGUCUAUUAAUUCAAUCCCGGGGCGUUCUAUACAGUUAUGUAUAAUAAUAUUUAUAUUAUUUAUACCUCUAACUAGAGCGUACCUUGAGCAUAUAUGCUGUGACCCGAAAGAUGGUGAACUAUACUUGAUCAGGUUGAAGUCAGGGGAAACCCUGAUGGAAGACCGAAACAGUUCUGACGUGCAAAUCGAUUGUCAGAAUUGAGUAUAGGGGCG